UUUUGUGAAUUAGUUAAGGUUAGAGACCAUGAGUCCCACCUUAGGCAUGAAGCCAUGAAUUACUUUAGCUCAGUGGUGGGAUGCUGCCGGUUAACAACCGGUUUGACUCACAACGUCUUCAAAGCCCACAGACAAAUGAGCAGAUACUAUCAGGAGAUUUCAUGUCAAAGCAUGAUGAAUAGGAAAGACUUGGCCGAGGUACUUUGAACUUGCUCAAGUGGACCUCCUGGCCAUAAAUGUGGAACACCUGAAGUAUACUUUGGAACUGUGCUUUGUUAUGAUGGAUAUGUUCAGAAGUACACAAAAACAGUAUCUUCUUUGAAAAAUACAGAUUUUUCAUGGGGCCUGGAUAAGCAAAGCAAAGUAUAGAAUGGAAGCAAAUGCUAAUUGGAAGUUGGGAGAGAAAUUUACAUAAGGCUUGAUCACAGUCCUAAAACUACUUUGGCAAUCUGGCUAAAUCUGUGAAAUCAACAUUUUUCUGUUUUCCUCUUUUCUGUAUCUAUCCUGAUUCUACACUUGUUGGAUAUUUUCAUAUGUGCAUCUUUCCAUUACAAAACACAUCUUGUACAGUAUAUCAAAUAUAGAAAAGGAAGAGAACAGUACAGAAAAAAAUGAUGUCUGGGCAGGUA
Molecule: long non-coding RNA, 629 nt
Organism: Pantherophis guttatus
Lineage: Eukaryota; Metazoa; Chordata; Lepidosauria; Squamata; Colubridae
Source: RefSeq, a predicted model, not a curated record